GACGAACGCUGGCGGCGUGCUUAACACAUGCAAGUCGAACGGUGAAGCGAGUGCUUGCACUCGUGGAUCAGUGGCGAACGGGUGAGUAACACGUGAGUAACCUGCCCAUCACUCUGGGAUAGGCACUGGAAACGGUGUCUAAUACUGGAUACGACCAACCCUUGCAUGGGGUGUUGGUGGAAAGAUUUAUCGGUGAUGGAUGGACUCGCGGCCUAUCAGCUUGUUGGCGGGGUAAUGGCCCACCAAGGCGACGACGGGUAGCCGGCCUGAGAGGGUGACCGGCCACACUGGGACUGAGACACGGCCCAGACUCCUACGGGAGGCAGCAGUGGGGAAUAUUGCACAAUGGGCGAAAGCCUGAUGCAGCGACGCCGCGUGAGGGAUGACGGCCUUCGGGUUGUAAACCUCUUUCAGCAGGGAAGAAGCGAAAGUGACGGUACCUGCAGAAGAAGCACCGGCUAACUACGUG
Molecule: ribosomal RNA, 469 nt
Filed under: uncultured bacterium
Lineage: Bacteria
Description: partial 16S ribosomal RNA
Rfam family: Bacterial small subunit ribosomal RNA
Source: RNAcentral